RNAcentral lists this ribosomal RNA (492 nucleotides) under uncultured Erysipelotrichaceae bacterium. Its description in RNAcentral is "partial 16S ribosomal RNA". Lineage: Bacteria; Bacillati; Bacillota; Erysipelotrichia; Erysipelotrichales; Erysipelotrichaceae. The record is from RNAcentral.
UACGUAGUUAGCCGUGGCUUGCUGGUAAGGUACCGUCAGGUACCAGUCAUUCCCUACUGGUACGGUUCUUCCCUUACAACAGAGCUUUACAAUCCGAAGACCUUCUUCACUCACGCGGCGUCGCUCGGUCAGGGUUGCCCCCAUUGCCGAAAAUUCCCUACUGCUGCCUCCCGUAGGAGUCUGGGCCGUGUCUCAGUCCCAGUGUGGCCGGUCACCCUCUCAGGCCGGCUACGCAUCAUCGUCUUGGUGAGCCGUUACCUCACCAACUAACUAAUGCGCCAUAAAUCCAUCUCGAUGCGAUGUAUCCCAUCUUUCGUUUUCUGAAGAUGCCUUCAGGUAACUUAUCCGGUAUUAGCAGUCGUUUCCAACUGUUAUCCCAGACGUCGAGGCAGGUUAUUAUGUAUUACUCACCCGUUCGCCACUAAGAUCCAUUGCUAAGCAAGCUUAGCUAUUUCUCUUCGUUCGACUUGCAUGUAUUAGGCACGCCGCAGC